AGAGUUUGAUCCUGGCUCAGGACGAACGCUGGCGGCGUGCUUAACACAUGCAAGUCGAACGAGAAUCUGCUGAAGGAGGAUUCGUCCAACGGAAGCAGAGGAAAGUGGCGGACGGGUGAGUAACGCGUGAGGAACCUGCCUUGAAGAGGGGGACAACAGUUGGAAACGACUGCUAAUACCGCAUGACGCAUAGAGGUCGCAUGAUCUUUAUGCCAAAGAUUUAUCGCUUCAAGAUGGCCUCGCGUCUGAUUAGCUGGUUGGCGGGGUAACGGCCCACCAAGGCGACGAUCAGUAGCCGGACUGAGAGGUUGAACGGCCACAUUGGGACUGAGAUACGGCCCAGACUCCUACGGGAGGCAGCAGUGGGGAAUAUUGGGCAAUGGGCGCAAGCCUGACCCAGCAACGCCGCGUGAAGGAAGAAGGCUUUCGGGUUGUAAACUUCUUUUAAGAGGGAAGAGCAGAAGACGGUACCUCUAGAAUAAGCCACGGCUAACUACGUGCCAGCAGCCGCGGUAAUACGUAGGUGGCAAGCGUUGUCCGGAUUUACUGGGUGUAAAGGGCGUGCAGCCGGGUCUGCAAGUCAGAUGUGAAAUCCAUGGGCUCAACCCAUGAACUGCAUUUGAAACUGUGGAUCUUGAGUGUCGGAGGGGCAAUCGGAAUUCCUAGUGUAGCGGUGAAAUGCGUAGAUAUUAGGAGGAACACCAGUGGCGAAGGCGGAUUGCUGGACGAUAACUGACGGUGAGGCGCGAAAGUGUGGGGAGCAAACAGGAUUAGAUACCCUGGUAGUCCACACUGUAAACGAUGAAUACUAGGUGUGCGGGGACUGACCCCCUGCGUGCCGCAGUAAACACAAUAAGUAUUCCACCUGGGGAGUACGAUCGCAAGGUUGAAACUCAAAGGAAUUGACGGGGGCCCGCACAAGCGGUGGAUUAUGUGGUUUAAUUCGAAGCAACGCGAAGAACCUUACCAGGGUUUGACAUCCUGCUAACGAAGUAGAGAUACAUUAGGUGCCCUUCGGGGAAAGCAGAGACAGGUGGUGCAUGGUUGUCGUCAGCUCGUGUCGUGAGAUGUUGGGUUAAGU
RNAcentral lists this ribosomal RNA (1081 nucleotides) under uncultured Eubacteriales bacterium. RNAcentral's name for it is "bacterial SSU rRNA". It matches the Rfam family "Bacterial small subunit ribosomal RNA", at positions 8 to 1085 of the family's 1533-position model. Lineage: Bacteria; Bacillati; Bacillota; Clostridia; Eubacteriales. The record is from RNAcentral.